This is a long non-coding RNA of Leopardus geoffroyi (Geoffroy's cat), 596 nucleotides long. RefSeq lists it as uncharacterized. Lineage: Eukaryota; Metazoa; Chordata; Mammalia; Carnivora; Felidae. The record is from RefSeq and is a predicted model, not a curated record. The transcript is spliced from 3 exons.
CUGGCUCUGUGUUCCUGCACCAGCUUUCUCCAAGUGGCACAGCAGGGCACGAUGGACUCUCGUGUCCUCCGUCACGUGGCCAAGACCACUCAAAGCCAGGUCCUUCUUGAUUUGCCCCGACUGGAUAUGACCUUUCUCUUCUGAACCCUCUGUCUGUAUUCGUUCCUCUUUGAUGGAACCAGUUUCUUCCUGCCAGGGCUGGCUACAUAUUUCCCAGGACCCAGUACUCGGAGAAAAGAUUGGGCCUGGUUCAACAGCAGCCAGAAAGCGCCAUUAAAGCAGACUGCACUUCCAGAACACCAGAGGAAAGAGAAAACGAUUUCAAAAUGCUGCCAGCGGAGCAUGAAGCCAGCCGGGGCUCUUCAGAGCGCGAGCCCCAAGCGGCACCGCAGACUGCACACCCAGGACGCAGCCUCCUCCCUGCUUUGUUUUCCUGUUGCUUGAGACACGGCUUCCCUCUGCCCCCAGACUGCGAGCUCAUUCAGGAAGGAGCCUGAGCCUCUCCGGUGUCUUACAUAAGCCCAAACAGCCCAAGACAACGUUCAAGCCAGAUUUCAGCCCUUCUUCAACAACCGCUUUAAAGAGCAGGGGUGGCU